RNAcentral lists this transfer RNA (67 nucleotides) under Drosophila robusta. RNAcentral's name for it is "tRNA-Tyr". It matches the Rfam family "tRNA". From Rfam's summary of the family: Transfer RNA (tRNA) molecules are approximately 80 nucleotides in length. Their secondary structure includes four short double-helical elements and three loops (D, anti-codon, and T loops). Lineage: Eukaryota; Metazoa; Arthropoda; Insecta; Diptera; Drosophilidae. The record is from RNAcentral.
GAUUAAGUGGCUGAAAAUAGGCGAUAGAUUGUAAAUCUAUAUAUAAGAAAAAAUCUUCUUAAUCAAU